This 76-nucleotide transfer RNA is filed under the name Candidatus Peregrinibacteria bacterium CG10_big_fil_rev_8_21_14_0_10_55_24. Its description in RNAcentral is "tRNA-Pro". It matches the Rfam family "tRNA". Rfam says of the family: Transfer RNA (tRNA) molecules are approximately 80 nucleotides in length. Their secondary structure includes four short double-helical elements and three loops (D, anti-codon, and T loops). Lineage: Bacteria; Candidatus Peregrinibacteriota. RNAcentral also lists the same sequence under 1 other name. The record is from RNAcentral.
CGGGGUGUAGCGCAGUUGGUAGCGCGCAGCGUUCGGGACGCUGAGGUCCCGGGUUCGAGUCCCGGCACCCCGACCA